This is a long non-coding RNA of Thunnus maccoyii (southern bluefin tuna), 945 nucleotides long. RefSeq lists it as uncharacterized. The record is from RefSeq and is a predicted model, not a curated record. Lineage: Eukaryota; Metazoa; Chordata; Actinopteri; Scombriformes; Scombridae. The transcript has 2 exons.
GUAAAGUAUUAAGCUAACGUAUUUUAUAAUAUAUAUAUUUAAUACAUAUCACUUUUCCCUCUGCUUUAUUUAUGUGACAGCUAUAGUAACUUUACGUAUUUAGAUUUUAAGAACAAAACAUAUGAUCAAGUUAUAAAAUAAAAUGCAUUGAACAGUAAUAAUAUUCAAAUUACAUUUUUACAUACAGUUUUUACAUUUAGAUUUGUAUGUGUAACCCAGUAAAGGUCAGUAUGUUGGAACAGGCAUUAAACUCCACAACUCAUUCAGUUAAUUGUCACUUUUAUUCCUAGUGUUUAGUUUGAAAGAUAUUUGAAGAAAAUAGCAGAACCUUCAGCUCCCAUUCAACAGGAGCCUGUUGAGGCUAUCUGAGUCCACACCAGAUCGACUGCUGGGAUUUGAGUUUAAUUGGCAGAGUACUAGCUCUGCACUAGCGGAGUGAACGCCUGCACUCUAACCAUCAACUGGACUCUCCAACUACCGUUUGGUGUCGCCCUAUUCCAGUUCUUCCAAACAUGUUUUCCACCUACUGUCACUAAUUGAUGAAAAAAUGAUCCAUCAUCAGACCACAGUGCAGGAUUGCGCAGCCUGCAGGAUCCAGCACCACACCACGUUCUGCAGCAUCAGGCUGAAAAGUGCUAUUCAAGCUGCUGAUCUCAGGACCAUCUGGGUGAGACAGGCACUCACACCUCCCUCCCCCCACCGCCUGUGACUGACAGACAUAUAUGCGCAAAGUUACAUGCUUUGGUAAGACUGACACCCUGAGCCAAGUAUUCUCAAAAGUAACAUCACUGCAGCUGUGAAUAUCUACAAAAGAUCUACUUUUUAAUUCAGUAUUUUCUGUGAUAAGAGUAUGAAGAUAAACAUAUAGUCUACAUAAGAAAUACCAAGAAAUAUAGACCAAAUGAAUACUGUAGUGAUAUGAUAGAAAUAAAAACAUUACUAGUG